UACGUAGGGGGCAAGCGUUAUCCGGAUUUACUGGGCGUAAAGGGAGCGUAGACGGUUGUAUAAGUCUGGAGUGAAAGCCCGGGGCCCAACCCCGGGACUGCUUUGGAAACUGUGUAACUUGAGUACAGGAGGGGCAGGCGGAAUUCCUGGUGUAGCGGUGAAAUGCGUAGAUAUAUGGAGGAACACCGGUGGCGAAAGCGGCUCUCUGGCCUGUAACUGACACUGAGGCUCGAAAGCGUGGGGAGCAAACAGG
RNAcentral lists this ribosomal RNA (253 nucleotides) under uncultured bacterium. Its description in RNAcentral is "partial 16S ribosomal RNA". It matches the Rfam family "Bacterial small subunit ribosomal RNA", at positions 524 to 776 of the family's 1533-position model. The record is from RNAcentral.